CCAGCUGGCCGAGAUGGAGGCUGAGAGGGACAGCGCAACCUUGAGGGCCAGGCAGCUGCAGAAGGUGGUGGCUGAGAGUGAGGAAGGGACCUGCUGCAGCUGGGAGGGGAGCUGGCCAGGACAUCAUGAGCUGUCCAGGAGGCGGGCCUGGGACUGAGCACAGGCCUACGGCUGGCAGAGAGCUGGGCCGAGGCAGCCCUGGAGAAGCAGGCCCUGCUGCAGGCCCAGCUGGAGGAGCAGCUGCGGGACAAGGUGCUCCGCGAGAAGGACCUGGCCCAGCAGCAGAUGCAAAGCGACCUGGACAAGGCUGACCUCAGUGCCAGAGUGACAGACCUGGGCCUGGCAGUGGGGCAUCUUCAGAAGCAGAAUCUGGAGAAGGAUCAGGUCAACCAGGACCUCACCGAGAAGCUUGAGGCUCUGGUGAGCUGCAGCUGCCCCUGAGAUGUGGCAGGGUGGGAUGGGGUACCGGCCAGAUCCAUGGCAGCACUGGGGGAGGUGCCUGAAAAGCACAAAAGCAGGCAUUGCAGCCCCAUGGUGUCGCCCACCUUGGUGGAGAGUUAGGAUUGAGCUUCUGUGUGAGCUCUUUGGAACGGUCUUCCUGACCCCUAACCAGUUUGGGGCCUGGGACUUGGCACGUGGCUGGCACGUGCCAAAUGGGAAGGGAGGCUGGGUGUGGUGGCACACGCCUGUAGUCCUAACUACUCGGGAGGCUGAGGCAGGA
This is a long non-coding RNA of Nomascus leucogenys (northern white-cheeked gibbon), 721 nucleotides long. RefSeq lists it as uncharacterized. The record is from RefSeq and is a predicted model, not a curated record. The transcript has 3 exons. NCBI's taxonomy places the organism in Eukaryota, Metazoa, Chordata, Mammalia, Primates, Hylobatidae.